This is a non-coding RNA of Trichobilharzia regenti, 45 nucleotides long. The record is from Rfam. Lineage: Eukaryota; Metazoa; Platyhelminthes; Trematoda; Strigeidida; Schistosomatidae.
AUCCAGAUGACGAGUCAUAAAUAGGACGAAAUGCGCAUUCUGGAU